UCCAAAGUGACAAGCUAACUGUCAACAUGUUUAAGUCCUUCUUGGUGCUGUUCGUCGCUGUGCUGCUGAUUGGCGGUAGCCAUCAAGCACCGCAGUCAACAUCUUCAGGUGCCAGUAGUGGUGGUGGUGGAAAUGCAGGAGGAGGAGCUAGCGCCGGCGCAGGUUUCAGCUUUGGCGCCGGAGUAGGAGGCAACGCAGGAGCGGGCGCGGGUGCGGGUGGCUCAGGCUGACUGUAAUAACCACGGAGAAAGAGCUGUUCAGAAAAUAUCUACGUUAAUCCUACAUCCCUCGAAACACUUAAUAUUAAGCAUUCUACAGUUGGGUUGGGUGAUUUUACAAUAAAAUUUAACAAUACCUUACGCUGUUUUAUUUUAGAUCUUUUUAUCUUAUGUGGAAGCAAUAUACAGGAUGUAACAAAAAUUGUGAGGAUCAAUUUUAAGGGCCAAUUCGGAAUCGUGUACCUGAUUGUAAAUUA
Long non-coding RNA from Cydia strobilella, 475 nucleotides. RefSeq lists it as uncharacterized. The transcript is spliced from 5 exons. The record is from RefSeq and is a predicted model, not a curated record. Lineage: Eukaryota; Metazoa; Arthropoda; Insecta; Lepidoptera; Tortricidae.